GACACUUAAGUUUCAGCUGAGAGAGCUGACAGAGCUUUAGUUUAACAUCAUCGAAAAUACAGGAAUCCCUCAGACUGCAAUGGAGUGUUAGCUUAGAUAUUCAUACCGAAGACUCCAAAACCUACAACUUUCUGAUUCAGAGCAUCCCUUGGCAGCAUAGUGUUGUGGAGGUAAUGCCAGAUCUCUGUGAAGCAAUCAAGCAGAUGGAACUUGUACUCAGCACACAAUUCCAAACUUCAGCACCAACUAUCGAUCAAGAGAGAGAAUGAAUUCACAUAGAGUGCAAAAAGAGGCUAUUUGGGCCAUUAAUCUGCACCAACUCGUCAAAGCCAACAGGGAGGCCAAGAAGCAGUACUGGACCAAGUUAGAAGCCCAAACCUACCAAACAGAGUCCCUACGUCUAUGGCAAAGCCUAAACAACAUUAUAGGAUAUGAAAUGAAGCAGAGCAAGGUAGCGGACAAAGACACAUCCCUCCCUGAUGCGCUCAAUGCUUUCUAUGCUCGGUUUGAGCAGAAUGCCAGCAGUGUGGUGAUGUCUGCCCCGACAGCCCUGGACACACCUGUUCCCUCAGUCAUCACUCCAGAUGCCAGAUCGGUCUUCCUGGGAAUCAACCUAAGGAAAGAUCCGGGCCCGGACGGUGUCCCCCUGCUGAGCACUGAGAUCCUGUGCAGACCAACUCAGGGGGGUAUUCACCGACAUCUUCACC
Molecule: long non-coding RNA, 707 nt
Organism: Rhincodon typus (whale shark)
Lineage: Eukaryota; Metazoa; Chordata; Chondrichthyes; Orectolobiformes; Rhincodontidae
Exons: 3
Source: RefSeq, a predicted model, not a curated record